GUCGAGCCUGCUCAUGUGCCGGUUGCUGAUGGGCAUUAACUGACAGGAUGAGUAUCCAGGACUGCCGCUGCUGGGUUCUAUGGGAGCUGCCGUGGUUCGCCAUAUGCAUCUUUUCCAGGGUGGAGAUCCGGUUCCUUGACCUGAAGCUGAGAUUUGGUCAUUAGCUUAAACCCUGUUCCACUUCUGCCUUUCCUGUCACCCCACCUGUCUUCUCAGAAUGCCAGGCCGAUGAGCCGUCCCAGCUCUCCACUACCCAGGGCUCAGCAUCUUCUUCGAGGCUGUCCCUGUAGCUCUGUGUCCUUUUCCUAACCCCAGAUGCAGAACAGAUGGGAAAUGGAUCCUGUGCCUAACUCUUUCUGGAAGAUUUCCCCACCCCCUUACCUUUGUCUAGUGAUUCUCUGGGGGUUGUUCUUCCUUUCUGGAAGAAUGUACCUAGGGACCCAGGAGCUCCUGGGCACUGGCUGCAGAGGCUCUAUCUCCCUCAUUGCUGAAGGGGCCCUCUCCCCACCCUGAGGAGCCUGCUGCGACUAUUUUAAGAAAAGUCUUCAAGGGCUUCAAAGAGUAAUAGGAUAGCUUUCUGGGAUGCUUGUUAAAAUUCUUGAAUAUGUUUAAGGGAUUUGCAUUUUCAAAGACAGAAUGUUUUCUGUUUGAUGUUGAGAAAAGAUUUUUCCCCCCUUUUCCUGUGAGUUUAAAUAAUUUGCCUGGCUUUCUAGUGGAAAGACCACAGUGCUCUUAUGUUCCGAAUGUGGCAUUUGUUAGAAUCCUCAAUGAUUGCAUGGAUGUAAAUGAUUUUGAAACAUGUUUCCAAAUAAAUGGCCAUCUGCAAG
Marmota flaviventris (yellow-bellied marmot) is the source of this 827-nucleotide long non-coding RNA. RefSeq lists it as uncharacterized. The record is from RefSeq and is a predicted model, not a curated record. Lineage: Eukaryota; Metazoa; Chordata; Mammalia; Rodentia; Sciuridae.